Molecule: small nuclear RNA, 146 nt
Filed under: Erinaceus europaeus (western European hedgehog)
Lineage: Eukaryota; Metazoa; Chordata; Mammalia; Eulipotyphla; Erinaceidae
Description: U1 spliceosomal RNA
Rfam family: U1 spliceosomal RNA
About the family: U1 is a small nuclear RNA (snRNA) component of the spliceosome (involved in pre-mRNA splicing).
Source: Rfam by way of RNAcentral
AUAAUGCCUGGUAGAGGAGAGACCAUGAUCAGGCAGGGGGUUUUCCCAGGUGAGGCUUAUUCAUUGCACUUGGGGUUUGUUGGCCCGUGAGAUUUCCCCAGAUGUGGGAAACUCGACUGCAUAAUUUGUGUUUGGGGGGACCCCUU